GCCGCUAAAGUACGCGAAAAGUUCCUUGAGCGCAAGUCUGCAAAUGUGGAAAUAAAUAUUCAAUUGUCUUUAUUGGAAAACUAUUUUUCUCUGUGUAAGAACCAAAAUAAGUGUAAAGAACCGCAGCUGCCAACAACAAUUGCGGCGUGUUGGCUUAAGCGGCUUGUUAGAAUUGUGCUUAGUGUAAACUUUACAGCGGCGUGAUCCUUUCUCGGCACAAGCGCACAAAGUGUGUGCGGCGUUAAGGGGGCGAAAUGCAAAAAAUACAUAUGUACAUGUGUGCAGUGAACAAGUUUGUGCAAAAAUCGCAAAGAUAAAGUGCAUAAGAAGGCCUUAAGUGUAGAUAAAGGUGUUUCUGGUGUCAUAAACAAAAGCAAAAUAUGCCGUUAUAUCAGCGAAAUUGAAAAGUAAAUAAAAUAAAAUUAUGUAAUGUGUGUGUAAAUAUGUAUGAUAUGAAUUACAAUAAUAAGAUUGUUUGGUGUACUGGCUGUAAAACAUUAAGAACGCGGUAAUUUAAACAACUUCAGUUUAAAGUGAUUAAAAAUGAAAAAUAAGGGUUGGAAAUAAAUAAGCUGAUGACAAAAUUUCCGAAAAACGAGAAAAUUAGUGCAGUAACCGCUUUAUUAAAAAUUAUUAAAACAAACAUUUGUCGCCAACUUAAAUUGCAACGUUCGCUUAGACAUUUUUGCGUGUUGGCGGCUUUAAAUGUCGGAACUAAUGAGGCGCGAC
Bactrocera latifrons is the source of this 729-nucleotide long non-coding RNA. RefSeq lists it as uncharacterized. NCBI's taxonomy places the organism in Eukaryota, Metazoa, Arthropoda, Insecta, Diptera, Tephritidae. The record is from RefSeq and is a predicted model, not a curated record. The transcript is spliced from 3 exons.